AAAGGGACCGGUUCUUCCUCUUCCCGCAGUUCAGCCUGCAAAAACCAGCAUCCGAGAAAGGCAGAGAACUUUGGGAGAGAUAAGCAUCAGCUCGGUCCACUUUUGCUUUCCAAGAGCCAUGACCACUACACUCUUCCCGUCCAUCGUCUCCACUCCAUUCCUCCUCCAACCCCUCAAGCUCACCAAACCCACAAGCCACUCCCUCCCUUCCAAGCCCUUCUUCAUACUCUGCACUUCCCAGAAAAGACCCGGUUCGAGUUUCAAGAAGCAUUCCGUGAAUGACGGCAGACCCACCUCCAAGAACCGCAGAAAGUCGUCUUACGGGACGUCCAGGAGGUCCAUCCUCAAGAAAACUUUCAACCAAGAGCAGGUGGAUUUCACUGCUCCAAUACCCGAUGACCCCAUUGUCGGAAUCAUAGGUGGAGGCAUGUCUGGCUUGAUUUGUGCCCUGAAUUUGGAGAAGAGAGGGAUCAAGUCCACGGUUUUCGACACGGGAAUUCAUGGUCUGGGAGGAAGAAUGGGAACAAGAGUGAUAGAACCUCAGCAGCUGAUAUUCGACCAUGCAGCACAGUUUUUUACAGUGAGCGAUGCUCGUUUUGUGGAGAUUGUUAAUGAUUGGCGGGAAAAAGGCCUGGUCGGAGAGUGGCAGGGUGCAGUUGGAGAGCUUGAAGCUGGUGGUCAGUUUGUUCCUCUUCCUUCUUCUCCACCAAGAUAUAUCGGUGUGAAUGGAAUGCGGCCUCUAGCUGACUCAUUGUUGUCAGAGACAUCUAUGGUAAAUGUGGUGAGACCUUGCUGGAUAAGUAAACUGGAGCCAUUUAAUGGAAUGUGGCAUUUGAGUGAGAAUGGAAAGCAUUGUGGGCAGUUUGAUGCUAUUGUUAUAGCACAUAACGGCAAAUGUGCAAAUCGCCUACUUGCUUCCUCAGGGUUGCCGUUAAUUGCUAGGCAAAUGAAGAGACUAGAACUUAGUUCUAUAUGGGCUCUCCUUGCAGCAUUUGAGGAUCCACUUCCUAUUCCAAGUAACACAGUGACUGCACCUUUUGAAGGGGCUUUUGUGAAAGGUGUUGACUCAAUCUCAUGGAUGGCCAAUAAUUCGAGAAAACUUCUGAAGUCUCUGGAUAAUGGCCCGCACUGUUGGACCUUUUUCAGCACAUCAGCUUAUGGGAAACGAAACAAGGUCCCGCAGGAAAAUAUCCCGGCUGCCACAGUUGAGAAGGUGAAAGCGGGUAUGCUUGCCGGUGUUGAAAUUGCUCUUGGACUGCCAGAAGGAUCGCUUCCUAGACCAAUUUAUACCCGCGUCCAGCUCUGGGGUGCUGCACUACCUACGAACAGCCCCGGGAUCCCUUGCAUCUUUGACCCUCGUGGAAGAGCUGGGAUAUGCGGUGAUUGGCUACUGGGUUCUAGCCUAGAGUCAGCAGCUCUAAGCGGCAUUGCUCUUGCUAAUCAUAUUGCUGACUACUUUCAAGGCAGUGGAGCUCGGCCCGAGGAGUUUGCUGUUGGGUUACACCAUGAGUUUCAACAACUAGAAGGUCACGACAUCGGACAAUUUCCUGGAUUGGACUCAGAAAUGCAAAAGGAUGGGAUUCAGAAUUAUCAGCUUACUGCAUGAAAGUGGGAUUCAGAUGUGGUUAUUGGACAAAUCUGGUGCCGUGCUGGUGCGACAUCAAGAUCAACCCUCUGAAGAAGCUUCUUACAAAGAGUAUGAUUUGGAUCACUUGUAACAAACUGGAUUCGCUUGAGAUUGUCUCUGGGUCAGCCUUCACCGAAACGAUAUGCCCGAUCUGAUCGUGCCGGGCUUUUCCAAUCGUCCCCGAUCGGUAAUAAUCAAAUGGAGUAGCACAAUGUUUACUUGGAAACCAUGCAACAAUCAGUCGUGCAAAAUGCUGUAGCUCAUGUCAUUCGGGCUGUGUAACGUAAACCAAGUGUUGUGCUAGAGCUGACCUAAGUUGCGUGAACAUGAAGGCAAUCCCGUUCAAUUGCUUCCUGCUCGACCCUGUGGAGCUCUGCUAUUCCAAUUUCUCUUUUAGAAAAGAGAAAUGACGUCUCAAUUUCCAAGA
Syzygium oleosum is the source of this 2054-nucleotide RNA transcript. RefSeq lists it as uncharacterized. The transcript has 10 exons. The record is from RefSeq and is a predicted model, not a curated record. NCBI's taxonomy places the organism in Eukaryota, Viridiplantae, Streptophyta, Magnoliopsida, Myrtales, Myrtaceae.